RNAcentral lists this transfer RNA (74 nucleotides) under Salmo salar (Atlantic salmon). It matches the Rfam family "tRNA". From Rfam's summary of the family: Transfer RNA (tRNA) molecules are approximately 80 nucleotides in length. Lineage: Eukaryota; Metazoa; Chordata; Actinopteri; Salmoniformes; Salmonidae. The record is from Rfam by way of RNAcentral.
GCCCCAGUGGCCUAAUGGAUAACGCACUGGCCUCCUAAGCCCAGGGAUUGUGGGUUCGAGUCCCAUCUGGGGUG